GGGUUGUGAGGUUAAGCGACUAAGCGUACACGGUGGAUGCCCUGGCAGUCAGAGGCGAUGAAGGACGUGCUAAUCUGCGAUAAGCGUCGGUAAGGUGAUAUGAACCGUUAUAACCGGCGAUUUCCGAAUGGGGAAACCCAGUGUGAUUCGUCACACUAUCAUUAACUGAAUCCAUAGGUUAAUGAGGCGAACCGGGGGAACUGAAACAUCUAAGUACCCCGAGGAAAAGAAAUCAACCGAGAUUCCCCCAGUAGCGGCGAGCGAACGGGGAGCAGCCCAGAGCCUGAAUCAGUGUGUGUGUUAGUGGAAGUGUCUGGAAAGGCGCGCGAUACAGGGUGACAGCCCCGUACACAAAAAUGCACAUGCUGUGAGCUCGAUGAGUAGGGCGGGACACGUGGUAUCCUGUCUGAAUAUGGGGGGACCAUCCUCCAAGGCUAAAUACUCCUGACUGACCGAUAGUGAACCAGUACCGUGAGGGAAAGGCGAAAAGAACCCCGGCGAGGGGAGUGAAAAAGAACCUGAAACCGUGUACGUACAAGCAGUGGGAGCACGCUUAGGCGUGUGACUGCGUACCUUUUGUAUAAUGGGUCAGCGACUUAUAUUCUGUAGCAAGGUUAACCGAAUAGGGGAGCCGAAGGGAAACCGAGUCUUAACUGGGCGUUAAGUUGCAGGGUAUAGACCCGAAACCCGGUGAUCUAGCCAUGGGCAGGUUGAAGGUUGGGUAACACUAACUGGAGGACCGAACCGACUAAUGUUGAAAAAUUAGCGGAUGACUUGUGGCUGGGGGUGAAAGGCCAAUCAAACCGGGAGAUAGCUGGUUCUCCCCGAAAGCUAUUUAGGUAGCGCCUCGUGAAUUCAUCUCCGGGGGUAGAGCACUGUUUCGGCAAGGGGGUCAUCCCGACUUACCAACCCGAUGCAAACUGCGAAUACCGGAGAAUGUUAUCACGGGAGACACACGGCGGGUGCUAACGUCCGUCGUGAAGAGGGAAACAACCCAGACCGCCAGCUAAGGUCCCAAAGUCAUGGUUAAGUGGGAAACGAUGUGGGAAGGCCCAGACAGCCAGGAUGUUGGCUUAGAAGCAGCCAUCAUUUAAAGAAAGCGUAAUAGCUCACUGGUCGAGUCGGCCUGCGCGGAAGAUGUAACGGGGCUAAACCAUGCACCGAAGCUGCGGCAGCGACGCUGAUGCGUUGUUGGGUAGGGGAGCGUUCUGUAAGCCUGCGAAGGUGUGCUGUGAGGCAUGCUGGAGGUAUCAGAAGUGCGAAUGCUGACAUAAGUAACGAUAAAGCGGGUGAAAAGCCCGCUCGCCGGAAGACCAAGGGUUCCUGUCCAACGUUAAUCGGGGCAGGGUGAGUCGACCCCUAAGGCGAGGCCGAAAGGCGUAGUCGAUGGGAAACAGGUUAAUAUUCCUGUACUUGGUGUUACUGCGAAGGGGGGACGGAGAAGGCUAUGUUGGCCGGGCGACGGUUGUCCCGGUUUAAGCGUGUAGGCUGGUUUUCCAGGCAAAUCCGGAAAAUCAAGGCUGAGGCGUGAUGACGAGGCACUACGGUGCUGAAGCAACAAAUGCCCUGCUUCCAGGAAAAGCCUCUAAGCAUCAGGUAACAUCAAAUCGUACCCCAAACCGACACAGGUGGUCAGGUAGAGAAUACCAAGGCGCUUGAGAGAACUCGGGUGAAGGAACUAGGCAAAAUGGUGCCGUAACUUCGGGAGAAGGCACGCUGAUAUGUAGGUGAAGUCCCUCGCGGAUGGAGCUGAAAUCAGUCGAAGAUACCAGCUGGCUGCAACUGUUUAUUAAAAACACAGCACUGUGCAAACACGAAAGUGGACGUAUACGGUGUGACGCCUGCCCGGUGCCGGAAGGUUAAUUGAUGGGGUUAGCGCAAGCGAAGCUCUUGAUCGAAGCCCCGGUAAACGGCGGCCGUAACUAUAACGGUCCUAAGGUAGCGAAAUUCCUUGUCGGGUAAGUUCCGACCUGCACGAAUGGCGUAAUGAUGGCCAGGCUGUCUCCACCCGAGACUCAGUGAAAUUGAACUCGCUGUGAAGAUGCAGUGUACCCGCGGCAAGACGGAAAGACCCCGUGAACCUUUACUAUAGCUUGACACUGAACAUUGAGCCUUGAUGUGUAGGAUAGGUGGGAGGCUUUGAAGUGUGGACGCCAGUCUGCAUGGAGCCGACCUUGAAAUACCACCCUUUAAUGUUUGAUGUUCUAACGUGGACCCGUAAUCCGGGUUGCGGACAGUGUCUGGUGGGUAGUUUGACUGGGGCGGUCUCCUCCUAAAGAGUAACGGAGGAGCACGAAGGUUGGCUAAUCCUGGUCGGACAUCAGGAGGUUAGUGCAAUGGCAUAAGCCAGCUUGACUGCGAGCGUGACGGCGCGAGCAGGUGCGAAAGCAGGUCAUAGUGAUCCGGUGGUUCUGAAUGGAAGGGCCAUCGCUCAACGGAUAAAAGGUACUCCGGGGAUAACAGGCUGAUACCGCCCAAGAGUUCAUAUCGACGGCGGUGUUUGGCACCUCGAUGUCGGCUCAUCACAUCCUGGGGCUGAAGUAGGUCCCAAGGGUAUGGCUGUUCGCCAUUUAAAGUGGUACGCGAGCUGGGUUUAGAACGUCGUGAGACAGUUCGGUCCCUAUCUGCCGUGGGCGCUGGAGAACUGAGGGGGGCUGCUCCUAGUACGAGAGGACCGGAGUGGACGCAUCACUGGUGUUCGGGUUGUCAUGCCAAUGGCACUGCCCGGUAGCUAAAUGCGGAAGAGAUAAGUGCUGAAAGCAUCUAAGCACGAAACUUGCCCCGAGAUGAGUUCUCCCUGACUCCUUGAGAGUCCUGAAGGAACGUUGAAGACGACGACGUUGAUAGGCCGGGUGUGUAAGCGCAGCGAUGCGUUGAGCUAACCGGUACUAAUGAACCGUGAGGCUUAACCUUACAACGCCGAAGCUGUU
This 2930-nucleotide ribosomal RNA is filed under the name Escherichia coli. RNAcentral describes it as "bacterial LSU rRNA". It matches the Rfam family "Bacterial large subunit ribosomal RNA". Lineage: Bacteria; Pseudomonadati; Pseudomonadota; Gammaproteobacteria; Enterobacterales; Enterobacteriaceae. The record is from RNAcentral.